Molecule: non-coding RNA, 106 nt
Organism: Avibacterium paragallinarum JF4211
Lineage: Bacteria; Pseudomonadati; Pseudomonadota; Gammaproteobacteria; Pasteurellales; Pasteurellaceae
Source: Rfam
UCGUGCUUACAAAAAAGCGGAUGCUUUUUUGAACAUCGGCUAUGCCGAUGGGGCUAAAAGCCCGAGCAAAUUUCGCUAUUGCGAAAAUUGCGAGUAAAACGUCCAU